AUACUUACCUGGACGGGGUCAAUGGGUGAUCAUGAAGACUCAUGGCCUAGAUUAGUGACUUUCAUUGCACUUUGAAAGGGUACUAGUUUAAAGUCUGCUCAAGUAGCGGAGCUUACGUCAUAAUUUAUGGCAGUGGGGGUUUGCGUUCGCGCAGCCCCCUC
Molecule: small nuclear RNA, 161 nt
Organism: Ipomoea nil (Japanese morning glory)
Lineage: Eukaryota; Viridiplantae; Streptophyta; Magnoliopsida; Solanales; Convolvulaceae
Rfam family: U1 spliceosomal RNA
About the family: U1 is a small nuclear RNA (snRNA) component of the spliceosome (involved in pre-mRNA splicing). Its 5' end forms complementary base pairs with the 5' splice junction, thus defining the 5' donor site of an intron.
Source: Rfam